AGGGUUUGAUCCUGGCUCAGAGUGAACGCUGGCGGCGUGGAUUAGGCAUGCAAGUCGAGCGAUCCUUGUCAUUGAUGAAGACUGAAAGCUUCGGCCGGAUGUUUUCUGAUUUGGCGCUGGAUAGCGGCAAACGGGUGAGUAACGCGGGGGUAACGUACCUUAAGGAGGGGCAUAGCUUCGUGAAAGCGGAGGUAAUUCCCCAUACCCCCUUUAUUUGAAAUAAUUUAGGGUAAAGAUGGCCUCUAUUAAUAAGCUAUCACCUUGAGAGCGGCCCGCGUUCUAUCAGGUUGUUGGUAGGGUAAUGGCCUACCAAGCCUAAGACGGAUAGCUGGUCUGAGAGGAUGGUCAGCCACAUCGGGACUGAGACACUGCCCGGACUCCUACGGGAGGCUGCAGUCGAGAAUAUUUCACAGUGGACGAAAGUCUGAUGAUGCGACGCCGCGUGGAGGAUGAAGGUUUUCGGAUCGUAAACUCCUUUUAUCGAGGAGGAAUAGCCUACAAGGUAAUAUUUUGUAGGUCUGACUGUACUCGAUGAAUAAGCCACGGCUAACUCCGUGCCAGCAGCCGCGGUAAUACGGAGGUGGCUAGCGUUACUCGGUUUGACUGGGUGUAAAGGGUUCGCAGGGCCUAAUAAGUGUCAGGUGAAAUCCUUCGGCUUAACCGGAGAAUUGCCUUUCAAACUAUUUGGCUUGAGGAUGGGAGAAGAGAGCGGAACUGUCAGUGUAAGGGUGAAAUCUGUGGAGAUUGACAGGAACGCCUGUGGUGUAGACGGCUCUCUAGUCCAUUCCUGACGCUCAUGAACGAAAGCUGGGGGAGCAAACAGGAUUAGAUACCCUGGUAGUCCUAGCCGUAAACGAUGGACACUAGGUGCUUGUCUCUUAGAGAUGGGUGCCGUAGCUAACGCGUUAAGUGUCCCACCUGGGGACUACGGCCGCAAGGUUAAAACUCAAAGGAAUUGACGGGGGCCCGCACAAGCGGUGGAACACGUGGUUUAAUUCGAUGCUACGCGAGGAACCUUACCAGGGCUUGACAUGCAGGAAGUAGUAUCCCGAAAGGGAGUCCGACCGGUAUCCAAUCCGGAACCUGUGCAGGUGCUGCAUGGUUGUCGUCAGCUCGUGCCGUGAGGUGUUCCUUUAAGUAGGAAAACGAGCGCAACCCUCGCCAUCUGUUGCCACCUAUGGUCUUUGAUCAUAGAGCACUCCGAUGGGACUGCCCGUGUUAAAUGGGAGGAAGGUGAGGACGACGUCAAAUCCGCAUGGCCCUUAUGUCCUGGGCUACACACGUGUUACAAUGCCUGAUACAGAGGGAUGCCAAUCCGUAAGGUGGAGCAAAUCUCAUAAAAUCAGGCCCAGUUCGGAUUGAGGGCUGCAAUUCGCCCUCAUGAAGUUGGAAUCGCUAGUAAUGGCGUAUCAGCUACGACGCCGUGAAUACGUUCCCGGGCCUUGUACACACCGCCCGUCAAGCGCUGAAAGUGGGGGGCGCCCGAAGUCCCGACUUUAGUCGAGAUCACGGUGAAUUUCAUGAUUGGCGCUAAGUCGGAACAAGGUA
Molecule: ribosomal RNA, 1548 nt
Filed under: metagenome
Description: bacterial SSU rRNA
Rfam family: Bacterial small subunit ribosomal RNA
Source: RNAcentral